AACGAACGCUGGCGGCAUGCCUAACACAUGCAAGUCGAACGAGACCUUCGGGUCUAGUGGCGCACGGGUGCGUAACGCGUGGGAACCUGCCCUUAGGUUCGGAAUAACUCCCCGAAAGGGGUGCUAAUACCGGAUAAUGUCUUCGGACCAAAGAUUUAUCGCCUUUGGAUGGGCCCGCGUUGGAUUAGCUAGUUGGUAGGGUAAAAGCCUACCAAGGCGACGAUCCAUAGCUGGUCUGAGAGGAUGAUCAGCCACACUGGGACUGAGACACGGCCCAGACUCCUACGGGAGGCAGCAGUGGGGAAUAUUGGACAAUGGGCGGAAGGCUGAUCCAGCAAUGCCGCGUGAGUGAUGAAGGCCUUAGGGUUGUAAAGCUCUUUUACCCGGGAUGAUAAUGACGGUACCGGGAGAAUAAGCUCCGGCUAACUCCGUG
This 433-nucleotide ribosomal RNA is filed under the name uncultured bacterium. RNAcentral's name for it is "partial 16S ribosomal RNA". It matches the Rfam family "Bacterial small subunit ribosomal RNA", at positions 29 to 507 of the family's 1533-position model. The record is from RNAcentral.